This 757-nucleotide long non-coding RNA is filed under the name Homo sapiens (human). RNAcentral describes it as "HSALNT0253507". The record is from RNAcentral. Lineage: Eukaryota; Metazoa; Chordata; Mammalia; Primates; Hominidae.
UAUAUUUAUGGACCAUUUUCAUCUAAUUAAAAUAGCAUAUGACUCUAAUUCUCUUCCGGGUCUGUACAUCUUCAGAGUAGAAACCUCUGAGAUGUGAGCUUUCAGUAGAGCCCUCCAGACGCCAAGUGCGUGGAUGCUAACUUCAAACUCUCUGUGAAGAAACCCUUUGGUAAGGAUUUUAGAUGAAAUCUUCUCAUUGUCUUUCAUUUAAGCUGUGUCUGAUUAGACCAUCCUCGUCUCUGGGCAACACACUGGAUUCUUGCACCACCACCACCUGUUCUCAUAAUAGCCGAUUGCUAUAAAACCGUGACAGCUGCGUAGGCCCGGGGCCCUUUCACGGUGCUGUAGCCGAGUGCUGGUGCUCCUAAUUGCUGGAGAACUUGAGCACAGUUAAACUCUCUGCUGGUUGCAUUUAUAGUAAAAAUCAGCAAGGAAAACAAAUUACACUAAACCUAGGCAGUGUCUCAUUUAUUGUUCUGCUUAUUUUGUUUAUAAUGUUCUCUUAAAAAAUCCUUGCUUUUAGCUGGAAAGCAGUAGGAUUUGGCAGAAACAAGGAGCUUUCCAGCCUCUAACAAGGCUCUCCACUUUGCCUCCUGCUCUGGCAGGCAUUGCUCAGUGAUCACUGGAGUGUCUACAUCAGUCCCGGCCUUGGCUCAGCAUUACAGAGGAGGGCCCUGUCAAAUGAAACUCAAACUGUGCAAAAGUCAUCCACAUCUGGUCCAUGAGGGACCUAGAGACAUUGAAAUUACCCCAAGGU